CCUACGGGCGGCUGCAGUGAGGAAUAUUGGUCAAUGGGAGAGAUCCUGAACCAGCCAAGCCGCAUGAGGGAAGACGGCCCUAUGGGUUGUCAACCUCUUUUGUCGGAGAACAAAACCCGGGACGUGUCCCGGACUGCGUGUAUCCGAAGAAAAAGCAUCGGCUAACUCCGGACCAGCAGCAGCGGUAAUACGGAGGAUGCGAGCGUUAUCAGGUUUUAGUUGGUUUAAAGGGUGCGUAGGCGGUCAGUUAAGUCAGCGGUAAAAUUGCGAGGAUCAAGCCCGUCGUGCCGUUGAGACUGGCAGACAAGAGGUGGCGAGAAGGACGCGGAAUGCGAGGUGU
RNAcentral lists this ribosomal RNA (340 nucleotides) under uncultured bacterium. Its description in RNAcentral is "partial 16S ribosomal RNA". It matches the Rfam family "Bacterial small subunit ribosomal RNA", at positions 338 to 676 of the family's 1533-position model. The record is from RNAcentral.